AAAGCGUGCGCAGGCGGUGAUGUAAGACAGAUGUGAAAUCCCCGGGCUCAACCUGGGACCUGCAUUUGUGACUGCAUCGCUAGAGUACGGCAGAGGGGGAUGGAAUUCCGCGUGUAGCAGUGAAAUGCGUAGAUAUGCGGAGGAACACCGAUGGCGAAGGCAAUCCCCUGGGCCUGUACUGACGCUCAUGCACGAAAGCGUGGGGAGCAAACAGGAUUAGAUACCCCUGU
This 230-nucleotide ribosomal RNA is filed under the name uncultured bacterium. RNAcentral's name for it is "partial 16S ribosomal RNA". It matches the Rfam family "Bacterial small subunit ribosomal RNA", at positions 562 to 791 of the family's 1533-position model. The record is from RNAcentral.